Molecule: long non-coding RNA, 1368 nt
Filed under: Heterocephalus glaber (naked mole-rat)
Lineage: Eukaryota; Metazoa; Chordata; Mammalia; Rodentia; Bathyergidae
Source: RNAcentral
GGAGGGUAAGCGGGUGCACGAAAGGGUGGAGGACGCGUAACCCUGCUUCUAAGGGCUGCGGAAUGUCCAGGGCCUAAAAUGACCGAAUUCGGGGGCCAGUUGAAUUGACCUGUGAGAGUUAUUAGUUGUAUGAUCUUGGGCAACUGACUUAGAAUUUUCUAGAGGCCACUUUGGUGGAAAUAAGGAUAACCGCCUCAGGAGGACAGGCUUUGAGCUUAUUCAUACCUUCUUGACCUGCGGUGCUGGGGAUGAAUCCUAGGGCCUGGAGCACACUAGGCAAGCGCUCUACCAUGGAGCCGGAGUUUCAGCCCUGAAUCUGUUGACUUUCAAAUGGUACUCUGGGCCCGGGGAUGUAGCUCAGUGGUUCCGCCGCCUGCCAAGCAAGCGCAAGGUCCCGAGUUCGAUUCCGGUACCAAAAAAAGGUACUCUGGUGGUGCAUGCCUGUAGCCUCAGCUCUUCAGAAGGCUGAGGCAGGAUCACUGCAUGUUCAAGGCGAGCUAGACCUUGCGUCAGGAAACAAAAGGGUAGGGGGUUAGAAAUGACAGGGCAGCUUGCUUAGCAUGAUGGAGUCUCUCGGAUAAAGCCCUACUACUACAAAAAAGAAAAAAUCUAAGGUAGCAUACAGUCCAAACACGGGCAAAUGUUAAUGUAUGGGGAUCCUUGGGCACCUUGGAUGGCUCUUGACGCUGUUUUGGGGUCUCCAGUAGGUAACUACAUAGGAUUUAGGUAAAUCAGUGGCUCGGCAGCAGUUUGGGUUUGAGGUAUGGUGUCCUCCAUUGUUUUGGUGGCCCUUAUCGAAGCUGCAGCUGCUUCUGCGUAGUUGCUGCAGUCAAAAAGGAGCCCAGAGUAACAAUUUUCCUUGACGGUCGCCGUUCUGUUUGCUGUAACUGAUCUGCAACAUUUCGGGGAAAGACAGUUCGAUUGUGCCUGCCAUCCUGGGAUACCUGGAGGCCUUCCUUCAAACUGGCAUGUUUCGUGGAGAGUAGCUGUGCCAGAUGAAGACCCCAUGGAGGUUACAGUGAGGACUCGAGAUCGUGACAGUGAGGAGAUGCAAGCCUGACCUGGUUUCCUGGUGGCAUCUGAUACUGAAGAGAGCAUCAUCUAUGGAGCUGUGCCUUACUAAGUCUCACUCUAGACCAGGCCAGCUUCCAGUUUGCAGUCCCCUUCAGCUUUGAAAUGCUGGACAGGCACGAGACACCAUGCCCAGCUUCAUCUGUUACUAGAGUGGGAGAGACCAUGGGAAAGAAGACAGGCAAAAACAGGUUAUAGGUGCCAACAGUAAGUUCUGUAAGCAACAUUAUUUUGCUAUUGGUGUAUCUGGUAAACAUCUGUGACUAGAGAUUGACCAAUAAAGACUUUGGAACUGUC